GUCCACUCCCAUCUGUUAUCUCUGGCCAAGGAGCAGUUUGAAACUCGCUACACACCAUGGCUGCAGUGGACCGCCUUUCCAGAGUUAUUUCCUGAAAUACUUGAUGCUUUGGAAAGCCUUCAGUCUCCCGCUGUUUCUCUUAGCUUGAUGAAGCUGACAGCGUGUCUGGAACGGGCUUUGGGUGAUGUAUUUUUCCUGAAUGGGAAGGAAUGUCCUUUUCUUCUGAGAGAUCUGCUUGCGUCUCAGGAGCUUGCCCGGGUCUUCGGGCAGUCUGUGAUGGACGUACUGAAAGUCUUCGUUGGAUCUCCACGUGGGCUCAAUCUGCGUAACGUCCUGUGGCACGGGUUUGCGUCCCCUCAAGAAAUCCCUCCCAAGUACUGUUCGAUGAUGGUGCUGCUGACGGCGGGCUUGGGUCAGCGGCUGCAGAGUCACCUGCAGCAAACUCAGCUCACGCUGGUGCACCGACCUUUCAGAGCUCUUCCGAACCUUGAGGAUCUGGCCGUUUUCCCGGAUGUGACUUCUGAGGGACUUUCAGUGUUAGAAGAAGUGAUGAAGAAAUCCACUUUUGUAUUAAAAAUCAUGUUGCCGUACUGGGAAGAUGCAUUAAUGAAGUUCAAGUCGCACAGGUUUGCCGACUGUGCCGUGCUGUUGCUGCCGCAGCUGGAGAUGGGGCUCAGGAGAGUCUUUGCCGCCCUGAACAGGUGUCCCCAGAGACUUCUGACGGCCGAGUCAACAGCUCUUUAUACCACCUUCGAUGAAAUAUUGGCAGAGCACUUGGAUGAUGGCAGACUCAAUCAGCUCCCCGUUUUCCUUGGAGAGCCCACAAUGGAGUUCCUUUGGGAUUUCCUGAACCAUCAGGAGGGUCCUCGCGUAAGAGACCAUUUGAGCCACGGGGAAAUUAACUUCCCCGAAUUUCCGAAAGAAGCAGCGAACCAGUUGCUCGCGUUUUCCACUGUGCUUUUACUCCGAUUCAUCGAUGAAGACCUGUUGUCAGUGCUCAAGGAAAGGGCGGUGGUGCAGUCGCUGGUCCGUCCCGCACAAGGCUACAGCGCCCGCUUCCACCCCGUGUCUCAGCUGAAAAAACAGCAGGUGCUGAGCUGUGAGAAGAGCAUCGGCCUUUGGCCCCUCCUGUCUUUGCCAGAAGAAGCUGAGGAGGCUGCCAGAGCAGGUCACUCCGAGGUGGAUGCCUGCAACUCUGUGGUUACAGAAAUCAUGUCUGAGCUGUGUCACCACCUGCCUGAGGGUCUCCGUGCUGCCGGUGACGUGGGCAGCCUUCCCGUGGAGAGGUGGCCCCAGGUGAUCCGUGAACUCUGCGGCAUCCCGGUCCCGACGCUGUUCUGUCCCAGAGCCGUGCUGGAGGUGCUCGCCGUGCUCCGAAGCAUCAGCGCGCACUGCGCCCGCGUGUCCGGCCAGGUGGCCGCCUCGGCCGAGCUGCGACGGCGGCAGUGGGCGGAACGGAGGCUGCGCUCCCGCCAGAGGCAGACGUACCUGCGCAUGCUGAGCAGUAUUAAGCUUCUGUCUCCUGUGCUUUACCUGAUUUUAUUGCUGAUUGCACUGGAAUUGGUCAACAUUCAUGUGGUUCGUGGAAAAACUACUUAUGAAUAUCAGCAGUAUCUAAAGUUCUUAAAGUCGAUCCUGCAGUACACAGAGAACCUGGUGGUCUACACCAGCCAACAGAGGAACAAGUGGAGUGAAGCGAUCACUCUGACACGGACGGCUCUGGUGAAGGGCUCCCUGUGCUGCCGCAGUCGUCUGAUCAUCUGGGAGACCCGCCGUCUGUCUCCGUGGCAGCUGCAGAGCCGGCAGCUGUCGGGGCCCCCGCGAGGCUGUCCCGGACCCCAGGUCUGCGUGCGCGCUAGGCCACGCACGGUGGACCACGGACUCCUCCCUGCCUUCCAGACCAGCCAGCAGGGUCUAACCCACAGCCCUCCAAGGAAGGACAUGCAGUACGUGUGCUUCUGGCUGCUUUGCUGUCUGAGAGCAGUGCCGAGGAGACCCUGAAGGGAAGGGACGGUGCUGUGGGAUGACAGACAUUCCAGCACAUUCCGUCCAUCCCUUUGCCAACUCGGUACCCUUGCCCUACCUUUCUUAAACUAAACUCCUGGGUGAAGACUGAGCACCGAGCUUCUGCCGCUGUGAUGCAGCCUUGCUGUGUGCAAGCGCAGACCCCGAGUCGCACGAGUCGGUGUCUGCUCCUAGGACUUGUUCUGUGGCAGUGUGGCCGUGGCUGCCUUGGCCAGACUCUGAGCGAGGAUGUAUAGGAUUGACCACUCUUAGCCCUGCUGGUGCUGGAGCUGGAAAGGAAAAGGGGAAAUACGAACUGAUGUAUGUACCAAACCCCUGACGAAGCAGGUGGGGUGCCUGUGCACCCGGUGAGCUGCAGAGACAGCUGGGGCAUUUCUCGGUUCCUAUCCGCACACGCCGCCCACAGGUGGACCGGCCCACCGGCCCACGAGGUAGCUGUGGCCUCCAGCACGGACUGAAGAACAGGAGAGGUGGCCGGCCCGCACGCAGGCCCGUGGAGGUUAUUCCAGGGGGAAGUCUUGCUUUUCUCAAACAAGAUGUCCAGCCAAAUUGCUUUCCCAAACCCAAGAGUUCUCUACCCAGCGAUGAAUGACCCAGCACUUAGGAGGCACAAAAAGGUGCAAUCGGAUUUUGUUCUAAAUCACAGAUUAUUUUCCCCACUUUUAUGCCUGCGAUUCCCAACUAUUUCAAGCUCGGACCUUAAGACUCAGCCGGCCUCCUGGACAGCUUAGUGCCAGCUCCUCGCGGCCGCCCUCCGCGUGGCCUCCUCCUCCCUGAGUCCUCCCUGAGUGCGCUCCUCUCGAUGAAGGGUAACUCCAGGACCCCCUGCCGGUCCAGGAGCGUCAGGGCAGACGCCUGCACGCGCCUCACAGUUCCCAGCAUCCUGCCACCUCCGUGCUGCCCGCACGGGUCCUCGUCACGGGCCGCUUGCUCGAGCCCUAGCUGUGCUCGCCGCCCCCGUCCGUCCUCUGGGCCAGAGAGCUGUGUUCCCCGGCCGCCAGUCAGUCACAUUAUUCCUCUAAAUAAACACCUCUGUGCACAGCA
RNA transcript from Suricata suricatta (meerkat), 3069 nucleotides. It is a transcript of the gene named ER membrane associated RNA degradation, with no coding region annotated. The record is from RefSeq and is a predicted model, not a curated record. Lineage: Eukaryota; Metazoa; Chordata; Mammalia; Carnivora; Herpestidae. The transcript is spliced from 19 exons.